AUGGCGCCCUCCACCACCACCGGUGCUGUCCCAGUCCCACGAUGUCCUGUUAUCUUCAACGGACAGAACUACAGGGACUGGGUGCAGCACAUGAAGCUGCACAUGAGGGGCCAGCUGGUCUGGGAGCACCUCUCUGGUGCUCUGCCUUGUCCCCUGCUGCCCACUCCUCCAGCUGAGUUGGCCUUCCCUGUUGAUGCCGAUGAAACCAAGCAACGUGAGAUGCUAGAUGCUUUUGAAGAGGCCACUGAAGAGUAUCAGAAUCAACUCCACUUAUACAAGCAAUGGACAAAUGAUGAUGCUCGAGCCUCUUCUAUCUUGGUGAACAGCAUGGAUGUUGAUCUCACCAUGGAUGUGGUGGCCCUUACCACUGCAUAUCAGAUGUGGGAGCACCUUCGCCAUCGCUAUGAGUCUACAGGGGAUGCCAUGUAUCUCUCUGUUGUUCGUCAAGAGCAACAACUACAACAGGGAGAUGCUACUGUGGAUGAUUUCUACAAGGAGAUGUCGGCGGUGUGGCGCCAAUUGGACUCUCUGGGAGCUGAUGUUUGUCGCAGAUGUCAGUGUUGUGUGCGGCAACAAGCUAAGCUGGAGGUUCGUCGCCUCUACGACUUCCUCACUCGCCUCCGGCCGGAGUUCGAGCAGAGUCGUGCUCAGCUAUUGGCACGCCAUCCUCGGCUCUCUACUCUGGAGGCCUUUGCUGAGGUGCGAUCUGAGGAGGUGCGCCUACGGAGCACGGGCUUAUUGCCAUCCUCUUCAGCAGUCCUGGCUGCCCGCGUUCCACCACCGCUGCCUGGUGUGCCCUCUUCUUCACAGGUGGUAGCAACCUCCACUAGUGCUUUCUGCAACUACUGCAAGCAGGAUGGUCACAUGAUCACGGAGUGCAUCAAGAGGAGGAAACAGGGUCGCCGUGGUGGCCGUCCUCAAAAGGACUCGGGAGGCUCCUCUAAUUCUCGUGAGGGCUCCCUUGAGAAGGUUCACCAGGAGAUGCUCACCUUGCUGCGCCGCCUUACUGCUUCUGCACCAUCCUCAGGUUCUGCUGGUUCUGCUGGUCAGACGUCUGGUCCACCACCGCACUCUUCGUCAGGUACAUCUUUGCCCUGGAUUCUUGAUUCUGGGGCCUCCUUCCACAUGACACCACAUAGAGAUCAUCUUUGUGCUGUCAAUUCCGUGCCUUCUCCUCUUACAGUUCAGACUGCAGAUGGCACUUCUCUUUCUGUUGCCGCAAGAGGGACUCUUUCCACGUCUUCUUUUCAUGUCCCUGCCGUUUCUCAUGUUCCUAAACUGACUAUGCAACUUCUAUCUGCUGGUCAACUUACUGACUUGGGUUAUCGUGUUAUUCUGGAUUCUGACUCUUGUUGUGUUCAGGAUCGUCGUACGGGGACUCUGGUUGGGAUCGGUCCUCGGCGCCAUGACUCUCAGCGCCUUUGGGAGCUCGAUUGGCUGCGCCUUCCUUCCGCUGCAUCCUCUAGCCAGUCGGACAUCACCACCCCUUUUGCUUCAGCUGCCACCUCCACCACAUCCUUCGCUCAGUGGCAUCAUCGAUUGGGUCACAUUUGUGGCUCCCGCUUGUCUUCUUUGGUUAGGAGUGGUGUUCUAGGGUCUGUAUCUGGUGAUAGUUCACUAACUUGUAUGGGUUGUAAGCUUGGCAAGCAGAUACAACUUCCAUAUCCCUCUAGUAAUUCUGUUUCUCAACGACCUUUUGAACUUGUUCACUCUGAUGUAUGGGGUCCUGCCCCCUUUGUUUCGAAAGGGGGUCACAAAUAUUAUAUAAUUUUCAUUGAUGAUUUUUCUCGCCACACUUGGAUCUACUUUAUGUCAUCUCGUAGUCAAGUGCUUCAAAUUUACAAGUCGUUUGCUACCAUGGUUCACACUCAGUAUGAUUCCUCUGUUCGAGUUUUUCGUGCUGAUUCGGCUGGCGAGUACUUAUCUCGUGCGCUUCGUGGUUUCCUUGCUGAACAGGGUACCCUUCCUCAGUAUUCCUGUCCUGGUGCACACGCUCAAAAUGGGGUGGCUGAACGCAAACAUCGUCACGUCUUUGAGACUGCUCGGGCUCUUCUUUUAUCUUCUGCUGUUCCCCCGCACUUUUGGGCUGAGGCUGUCUCUACCGCUGUUUAUCUCAUUAAUAUUCAGCCUUCUGUUGCUCUUCAGGGAGGGAUACCAGUUGAUCAUCUAGGUGAUGGUCCAGCUGAUUAUAGUGGUCUACGCCUGUUUGGUUGUGCCUGUUUUGUUCUUCUCCACCCUCAUGAACGCACCAAAUUGACUGCUCAAUCUGUUGAAUGUGUUUUCCUUGGCUACAGUUUGGAGCACAAAGGUUACCGUUGCUGGGACCCUAUUGCUCGAAGACUGAGAAUCUCCAAAGAUGUCACUUUUGAUGAGUCUCGCUCCUUCUACCCUCGUCAUUCUUCUACUGCCACAACCGAGUCGUUAGUCGAGCCUCUCUCUUUUUUGACUCUACCUGAUUCUUCACCUUUAUCGUCACCUGGUAGGUCCACUCCUAGCCUUUCACCUGUGUCUGCUCAUGAGCUUCAGCUUACACAGGACGAGGUUUCUAUUCCUGACUCUCCUACUCGGGUUGAGCCAUCCACUCUCUCUCCUUUUCCUUUUACCUACUCCCGUCGUGCUCAACACCCUUCUCCCUCUGAUGCGCCACCUUCCACUUCCCCUCUCUCUCCGCUUCCUUUUGUCUACUCCCGUCGUGCUCGGCACCCUUCUCCCUCGGAUGCGCCCACUUCCACUUCCACUCCUUCCCUGUUGGGUCCCAUUCCUUCAGAACCACCUACCCCUCCUGCUCCUCGGUAUAAUCUGCGUGAUCGCCACACUCUCCAGCCUCCUGCGUACUAUGUUGCUGCUGCUACCACUCUUGUUGAGCCGUCUACAUAUCGUGAGGCUGCUGCUCAUUCUGAAUGGCAGCAUGCUAUGGCAGAGGAAAUUCAUGCUCUUGAGCGCACAGGCACUUGGGACCUUGUACCCCUGCCUACAGGCGUUAGACCCAUCACUUGCAAAUGGGUCUACAAGGUUAAGACACAUUCAGAUGGUUCUCUCGUGCGCUACAAAGCUCGUCUUGUUGCGCGUGGCUUCCAGCAGGAGUAUGGUCGUGACUAUGAUGAGACUUUUGCUCCUGUUGCUCACAUGACCACUGUUCGCACUCUUUUGGCUGUUGCUGCUGUUCGGCAGUGGUCCAUCUCUCAAUUAGAUGUCAAGAAUGCCUUCUUGAAUGGUGAGCUGCGGGAAGUGGUCUAUAUGCAGCCGCCUCCUGGCUAUACUGUCUCUGAUGGCACUGUCUGUCGCCUUCGGCGCGCUCUUUACGGGCUGAAACAAGCUCCACGUACCUGGUUUGAGCGUUUCUCCGCCGUCAUCACAAGGAUCGGGUUCUCUGCUAGUGUUCAUGAUCCUGCUCUGUUUAUUCACACUUCUCCUCGCGGUCGCACCCUUUUACUACUCUAUGUUGAUGACAUGAUUAUCACAGGGGCUGACCACCAAUUCAUUGAUUUUGUGAAGAAACGUCUACAUGAGCAAUUCUUGAUGACUGAUUUGGGUUCUCUUCGCUACUUUCUUGGACUUGAGAUCAUUUCUUCCCCUGAGGGUAUUUAUCUCUCUCAAGAGAAGUACAUCCAAGAUCUUCUCACUCGUGCCUGCCUCACUGAUCAGCGCACGGUUGACACUCCUAUGGAGUUUGGUCUCCAUCUUCGUCCUGGUGAGGGUGAACCCCUUGCAGAUCCCACACGCUACCGCCAUCUUGUUGGGAGCCUUGUCUAUCUAGGCAUCACUCGUCCUGACAUUUCUUAUGCUGUGCACAUUCUAAGUCAGUUUGUCUCUGCUCCCACUCAACUUCACUACAGUCACCUUCUUCGUGUUCUUCGUUACCUUCGUGGUACCGUGACUCGUCGCUUAUUCUUCCCUCGCUCCAGCUCUCUUCAGCUUCAGGCCUACUGUGAUGCUACCUGGGCCAGCGAUCCCACUGAUCGCCGCUCUCUCUGCCUAUUGUGUUUUUCUUGGCUCCUCCCUGAUUGCCUGGAAGACCAAGAAGCAGAAUGCUGUAUCUCGCUCCAGUGCUGA
Molecule: ribosomal RNA, 4053 nt
Filed under: Triticum aestivum (bread wheat)
Lineage: Eukaryota; Viridiplantae; Streptophyta; Magnoliopsida; Poales; Poaceae
Description: partial small subunit ribosomal RNA
Source: RNAcentral